CAAGUUUCUUGCCUGCCAGUUUAAUUUCAUUAUCACAUUCUAAGUACCACAAACGUCAAUAAUCACAGCUGGUAUCAAUUACAUUCGUGCACGCUAUGGUUAAAUUGAUAACAUACCUCGCCUGCGGCGGCACAUAUUUUGAAAUUUGAAUAUUCACACCGUUGCUACCGUUGGCGCAAAGGCGCAAGAAGCACGGAUUUACAAACCAACGCACAUAAAGUAUCAUUCGAAAGCCAAGUAACAUACAGAUGGUUCUAUACUGAAGUGAAUCAGUUUUGAUAUGAAAAGAAGCGGAGGAAUAACUUGUAACAACGGUGGCACAACCGUAUUAACUUGAUGAAUAUUAAAGCCAUCAAAGUGCGCAAUCAAAUUGCUGAGCCACAUCUUCACUGAAGGCUGAAGCUGAGAUGCAAGACAGAAUCCAAUGUAACAGAAUCCAGCAAGCAACAUUUGGAUGCCAAAACAGUCACUGAAUUGUUUGAUGUACUCAUGCAAUAUCAAGUUUGGCGAGGACAGGAUAAAAAGUCACACUCACACCAAGAACACCAAGUGAUCAUGGAUGCUUCACAUAGGCAGAAAUAUGAAGAAAGAAAAACGGAGGAAACAUGAAGCGAUGUAAUAAACACCACAGAUGAUAAAA
Long non-coding RNA from Dendronephthya gigantea, 640 nucleotides. RefSeq lists it as uncharacterized. The transcript is spliced from 3 exons. The record is from RefSeq and is a predicted model, not a curated record. NCBI's taxonomy places the organism in Eukaryota, Metazoa, Cnidaria, Anthozoa, Malacalcyonacea, Nephtheidae.